GUGAAGCGAUGCCUCAGGCUGGUAUGAACUUUGAGCCUAAAAGAAGGGGAACCUAUCACAACAGCCGUAAAACCAAUGAUCUGAUCAACAACAUAGGUUUGGUUAAUGGAGCAGUUGUUUACAAUGGAUGCUCAGCUUCUGCCAGCAGAAUCAGUAGGAGCACACCAGCUGGCACACAGCAUGGUCCUAAACCCACAUACAGGAUUAACGGUUAUAUUAACCAUGGCUACAAAGGCAAGAGUACAAAAGCAGCACCCCCAGGGACCAUCAAGAAACAAGGAUGCAAAAUUUCAGCUCUCUGUGAUUCCCCAGCAUCUGAUGGAAACCGCAGUGAAGAUCUCAUGAGUGGUAACUCAGCCAAAGUUAGUGCUCCGCCCAGUAAUAUUAACCAAAAGGUACCAGAUCUCAGCCUGUCAGCGUCAGGGAAGAACAAAAGGUGGAGGAGAUCUAGACACAAGAAGAGUGAACCAUGAAUAACAGCCCUAGACUGGCAAGUUUUACUACUGCAGAGGUCCUGAGACAGAUAAGUAAUACAUAAUGCUCAGCUGAUGGAGAUGAGUCAGGUUUACUCCCUUUUGCAUAAAAACAAUACAAACAUUUGUGAAAUAAUGGGUUGUUCUAAAGAGCUCACUAAAUCUGAGUGGGGUACUGUAAUAGGAUACUGUAAUAAAUCAGUUAAGUUUGUGAAGUUCUUCCCUUAUAAAUUACGAACCAUAGCAACUCGGCCCUGAAGUACAGAACAGGGUGCAUAAAAGUCAACUGUAAAGUUUGAUGGAGGAAGGAUAAUGCUAUGGGGUUGUUUUUCUAGGGUUAGCCAGGGUCCUUUACUUCAAGCAAGGGGAGUUCUCAAUUCUAUGCUUCCAGCUUCAUGGGAACAGCCUUGGGAAUGGCAUUCCAGUGGGACUGUGCACAGAGCAAGGGAGAUUCAGAUGUGUCCAUAGAUUGAAUAUGUGAAAUUAUAAAAGCUCCUGUAGUGCAGACAAUUUCACACUAUACUUUUGUAUUGGAAACAAUCAUUAAAAGUAUUCCUGUACAAAAAAUUAUACUCAUGAAGUAGAAGAAUAAAUGCU
This 1070-nucleotide long non-coding RNA is filed under the name Oreochromis niloticus (Nile tilapia). Its description in RNAcentral is "lncRNA (ENSONIG00000033123.1)". Lineage: Eukaryota; Metazoa; Chordata; Actinopteri; Cichliformes; Cichlidae. The record is from RNAcentral.